UGGGACUCAAACUCACAAACCACGAGAUCAUGACCUGAGCUGAAGAUGGUGCUUAACCAGCUGAGCCACCCUGGUUGCCCCUGUUCUUGAGUGCUGUCCAGAAUAAAACGUAUUCAUCCGACGACUCCAUAAUCUGUGUCCACAUAUCCUGUGCUUGUGCACCGCACAAAAUCUGACAGGGAAAGAGAGUAGAAAAUGAAAGUCUUUGUGUUGUGUUCAUACGCUGCUUCACUAGAUUGACGUCUCUCUCUCUUUUGUUUGGUACUUCUUCUUUCUAGGUUAGCGCACCUUUCUUGUCUCCAUAGUAGGGGUUGACACUAAGAAUUGAUAUCCCUUGUUUCCCUGCUCAUCAUUUUGAUUCAGGAGGUAGAAUGUGUAUCAGCCAUUAAUGGCACUUUGUUCAUCUCCUUCCAUCGACGGUGUACAACCCUUCCUUGAUUCUGAGGGACCCAGCUGCCAUGCUGUGAGGAAGCUCAGGCUAUCUUUCUGGAGAGAGAGGCAUCCUGAAGAAGCUAUGGAGGGAGACAGAAGGAGGGCACAGAAGAAACACAGGUCACCCACAGAAUCAAGUUCAGUCCUCAUUUAUUGUUUUAAGCCAUUAAGUUUUGGGUGGAGAUGUGUUACACAGCUAUUGAUAACUGAAACACUCAGAUAGUUUGUGUUCUUCAUUGUGAUCUCUUCAUUGCAUUGCGAUCUCUUCAUUGAGAGACUAUGAGAUGAUAAGAAACUAUGUGUAUAAUUUUAUGAGGACAGGCUUUCACUCCUACACCUAAUGCUAUUUUUAUUCUACUUGUAUAUCUAUCAGAUUUUAACUCUAUUCUGCCUCUAACAGGCUUAUUCCCAUACCUGAGCUUAUUUUUAAACAUAUAAAUCCCCAAUUUUCAGUCUGAAAUGAUUUUGUUUUAUGCCUACUUGGAUUAGUGUGAUCUUUUGGGGAAGAUUUCUACUCAGAACAAUUAUAUUGCUUAUGAUUUCUAGCCAUGCGAUGUUUUUAGAGGUAUAUUCAGAGGAGUGUGUUCACGGCAUUUACUGGGGAUAAAAUUGUUAAGAUCUAAUGAUGAUCUCUUUAAAAUAUUUAUUUGGUGAAACCUGAGGGUUUGGGGGACCAAUAUAAUGGCAGAAUAAUUGCUAAGUCACUGUGAAGGCAUUGCUCUAUUUAACGUGUGCAAUUUUGCACAAGCCAGGUGGAACUAAUCAAAAUACUGAAGGUAGGUUCUUGCUGUCAGCACUCUCCCAACAUUUACCUAGCUGUUUACAAGGCCAGAAAUAUGACUUUAUAUAUUGUGAGUGAAUUGGAUUUCUUAAUAAUAAACUGUAGUCGAAAUUAAGCAAUAAUUCCUUCUAAAGAGAACUGUUAGUGAUGUUUUCAGCUAUCAAGUUCUUAUUGCAUCUGCCUCCAGUCCAUCAGGGCUAUGUUUUAAAAUAUUUUUUUAACAUUUUAUUUUUGAGAGAGAGAGAGAGCAGGGGAGGGGCAGAGAGAGAGGGAGACACAGAACCCGAAGCAGGCUCCAGGCUGUGAGCUGUCAGCACAGAGCCCCACACAGGGUUCGAACUCCCGACCCAGGAGAUCCUGACCUAAACUGAAGCCUGACGCUUCACUGACUGAGCCACCCAGGUGCCCCCAUCAGGGGCAUUUUCACCCAUUUUUGACACUUACCUGUUUGUCACAACAGAGUCCCUAUGUGCAUGUAUCAGAGCCUCUAUGUGAGGUGUGGUCUGGCUUCCUGUGACACCCCUUCUCAGUGUCUGCUUUGUCUGACCAAGAGUAUCCCCCAUAUGGGUGCCUGGAGCUGGGGAGAGGUAACCCCACUGCUCUUUGUUGCCUGUCACCCUCUGCGGAGCUUUCUUCCAGAUACUCAGUGCUUGCCCUGACCUCCUAAAGGCUUCCAUUCAGAUUCUCCCUCUCAGUCUGUUCUGUUCUAGAAUAUCGUUGGCCCUUCCACUCAGAUUCCGUUGUCCUUUUUGAUUCUCCUUCAGAACUUUGUUUCGCGAUGGUGGACAGUACUCUGAGCUCAUACCCUCACGCGAGAUAACGUGUUAACCCAAAUGAGUAUCCCUGAGGAUGGAUUUUUUUAGGCCGCUGGAAAAAUAUUUUUAGACAAAAGUCUACCUUCAUUCUCUUAAGCUAAAACCAAAUCAUUUGUGGUUUCAUGAAGUAGAACUACCUUCACGUACAGACGGACUUAUCUGGAGCGCCGAGAAUUUCAUUAGUUCUAAGACUCCGGAACAUAGCGGUGAUCCCAGAGGGGAGAGAAGAAGCUGAGCAACGGUGAGAAAAUCUGUCAAAAUCACCUUGUUUUUUCUUCUAUAUCAGGCAAAGAAUCGCCUUCAGAACCGGGGAUGUAGGUUCAGGUGUGUAACUACAGAGUAGAUUUGCAGUGAUCAGGCCCACAUAAGAGCAGAGCCAAGUGGAAGGAAGACCGGGGAGACAGAAGAGGCACAGGAGGCCUGGCUCCUGGUGUGGGGGUCACAUUGGGUUGCGGUUCAAUGGCUACACAGUUCUAUUCAUGGUAGAGGCAGGGAUCCCGUUGUAUUAAUAAUGAUUGCCCCACCUCCUCAAGAAAAUGAGUUAGUUAUUUACAUGUGCUUUGUUCAAAAAGGUGACAACACGUAAUACUUUUUAAAAAGGUUGACCCCCCCCCCAAAAUUUGCUGAUAAAAGAGGUAGAACUUGAAUUAUUUGGGAAAGUUACUUAUUUAGAACAGGUCAGUCCUAAAAAUGCAAGACGUUGUGCACACCUGCACACGCACAGCAUACGCACACCGACCUGUAUUCAAACAAAGAAAGGUAACUGCCGGAUCUUGAGUCUUCCCUUUGGUCAGCUCCAUUUUUCUUUCUAUUCAUUGAUCUUUCACUUCCAAUUCACAAAGUUUCUAGUGAUUCUCUUGACCUUCUCUCUGUCACCAGUUUGUCCCUUUGCCUUGCCCUUCCCAUCCUAGUGCCAUGUGCAGGCCACCUGGCUGGGUCCUUGGCCACUGUCUGCCCAGAUGUGUCGGUGGAAGGCAUUAUGAUUCCAUGUCAUGCUUGCUUGAUUCAAUAGGGUAAGAUGCACUCAGACCCCGUGGGUGCCAUCCAGCUGGCCUGGGGGAGGCAGGGUGGGAGGGGCUGCCUUGGAGGAAGAGGCAGUGGAGAAAGACAGCAAGAGCCAGAGCUAAAGAAACCAGGCUAAGGCUUUAAGUAGCUUAAAUGAACAUGGGUAUUUUUAUUUCCUGGCUUUAUUUUCCCUCUUCAGAAAUAAUAAAUCUUCAGCAUCACUGAUGUUACCUAAGUUAAGGAGGUCAGAGGGAAGGUAAGAAAUCUCAUAUUCACACUACUACAUUUUUCUCUUCAACCACUGGUAUAGGCAUGUGCAUUUAACAAUGAACCAUUGGGGAAAUUGCUAUGGUAAUCUUAAACAAGAGAGUCAUUAUACAGAAAUUAUUGUGUAUUUUUCUACAAACGACCACCUUGGUUUGAAACAGGCUGAUUAGCUGAACUUAGUGAUAUAUUUGUCCUUUGUAUUAUAUCUCUGAGACCCUUAGGGAAGGAAAAUGACAUAUUUUAAUAGAUCCUGAGUGUUUUGAAUAUAGUGCCAUCACAUCCCAUGGCGGGGGCGGGACAAGGGGCUACACCUGCUGGGCUGGGAGCCCUCCACUCUUAGAUAUAUUUAUCAGUCCUCUCUGAGCAUCUCCAGCUCAAGCUCAGUUCAAACCUACCAAUUUCUUAGCCCCAUGAAAAGGCAAUUUUGUCUAAAACCUUGGAGUCUAUAGAUUUUGAAAUUGAAAGAAAAGUCAUGCCAAAGACUGCAUUUUACUUAAACACUUUCUUAGACCCCAAGUUUCAAAACCAACUAAAGCUAGAAAAAGACUAUGCUGUCUAGGACCUUUAACAGAUAUAUUAUUUUGCUUCCAAAUAAAGAACAAAUUGAAUUUGAGUUUCUUAAGCCAAUAGGUAUUAUUUCUUUUUAAAAACAUUUAA
This is a long non-coding RNA of Leopardus geoffroyi (Geoffroy's cat), 3957 nucleotides long. RefSeq lists it as uncharacterized. The record is from RefSeq and is a predicted model, not a curated record. NCBI's taxonomy places the organism in Eukaryota, Metazoa, Chordata, Mammalia, Carnivora, Felidae. The transcript has 2 exons.